AGUGAACGCUGGCGGUAGGCCUAACACAUGCAAGUCGAACGGCAGCACAGUAAGAGCUUGCUCUUACGGGUGGCGAGUGGCGGACGGGUGAGGAAUACAUCGGAAUCUACUUUUUCGUGGGGGAUAACGUAGGGAAACUUACGCUAAUACCGCAUACGUCCUACGGGUGAAAGCAGGGGAUCUUCGGACUUUGCGCGAUUGAAUGAGCCGAUGUCGGAUUAGCUAGUUGGCGGGGUAAAGGCCCACCAAGGCGACGAUCCGUAGCUGGUCUGAGAGGAUGAUCAGCCACACUGGAACUGAGACACGGUCCAGACUCCUACGGGAGGCAGCAGUGGGGAAUAUUGGGCAAUGGGCGAAAGCCUGAUCCAGCCAUACCGCGUGGGUGAAGAAGGCCUUCGGGUUGUAAAGCCCUUUUAUUGGGAAAGAAAAACAGCAGGUUAAUACCCCGCUGUUCUGACGGUACCCAAAGAAUAAGCACCGGCUAACUUCGUG
This 492-nucleotide ribosomal RNA is filed under the name uncultured bacterium. RNAcentral's name for it is "partial 16S ribosomal RNA". It matches the Rfam family "Bacterial small subunit ribosomal RNA", at positions 29 to 507 of the family's 1533-position model. The record is from RNAcentral.